RNAcentral lists this ribosomal RNA (253 nucleotides) under uncultured bacterium. RNAcentral describes it as "partial 16S ribosomal RNA". It matches the Rfam family "Bacterial small subunit ribosomal RNA", at positions 524 to 776 of the family's 1533-position model. The record is from RNAcentral.
UACGUAGGGUGCGAGCGUUGUCCGGAAUUAUUGGGCGUAAAGGGCUCGUAGGCGGUUUGUCGCGUCGGGAGUGAAAUCCACUGGCUUAACUGGUGGCUUGCUUUCGAUACGGGCAGACUGGAGGUAUGCAGGGGAGAACGGAAUUCCUGGUGUAGCGGUGAAAUGCGCAGAUAUCGGGAAGAACACCCGUGGCGAAGGCGGCUCUCUGGGACGGUACUGACGCUGAGACGCGAAAGCGUGGGGAGCGAACAGG